RNAcentral lists this ribosomal RNA (198 nucleotides) under uncultured bacterium. RNAcentral's name for it is "partial 16S ribosomal RNA". It matches the Rfam family "Bacterial small subunit ribosomal RNA", at positions 328 to 539 of the family's 1533-position model. The record is from RNAcentral.
ACGCUCGACACCUACGGGAGACAGCAGUGGGGAAUAUUGCACAAUGGGGGAAACCCUGAUGCAGCGACGCCGCGUGAAGGAUGAAGUAUUUCGGUAUGUAAACUUCUAUCAGCAGGGAAGAAAGUGACGGUACCUGACUAAGAAGCCCCGGCUAACUACGUGCCAGCAGCCGCGGUAAUCUGAGCGGGCUGGCAAGGC